UAUACAUAUGAACGAUUUGGUGUCUUAAUGACUUAAAAGGGAAGUUGGUGAAAUGCCAACGCGGUCCCGCCACUGUAUAUGGGAGCUGACGGCUGUGUACCACUGUAUGAGAUAUGGGAAGGUGCCGUUGACGAUGACCAUGAGCCAGGAGACCUGCCAGAAUUCGUACACCUGUA
RNAcentral lists this non-coding RNA (176 nucleotides) under Peribacillus simplex. The record is from RNAcentral. Lineage: Bacteria; Bacillati; Bacillota; Bacilli; Caryophanales; Bacillaceae.